GAUGAACGCUGGCGGCGUGCCUAAUACAUGCAAGUCGAGCGAACAGACGAGGAGCUUGCUCCUUUGACGUUAGCGGCGGACGGGUGAGUAACACGUAGGUAACCUACCUAUAAGACUGGGAUAACUUCGGGAAACCGGAUCUAAUACCGGAUAAUAUUUCGAACCGCAUGGUUCGAUAGUGAAAGAUGGCUUUGCUAUCACUUAUAGAUGGACCUGCGCCGUAUUAGCUAGUUGGUAAGGUAACGGCUUACCAAGGCAACGAUACGUAGCCGACCUGAGAGGGUGAUCGGCGACACUGGAACUGAGACACGGUCCAGACUCCUACGGGAGGCAGCAGUAGGGAAUCUUCCGCAAUGGGCGAAAGCCUGACGGAGCAACGCCGCGUGAGUGAUGAAGGUCUUCGGAUCGUAAAACUCUGUUAUUAGGGAAGAACAAACGUGUAAGUAACUGUGCACGUCUUGACGGUACCUAAUCAGAAAGCCACGGCUAACUACGUG
RNAcentral lists this ribosomal RNA (497 nucleotides) under uncultured bacterium. RNAcentral describes it as "partial 16S ribosomal RNA". It matches the Rfam family "Bacterial small subunit ribosomal RNA", at positions 28 to 507 of the family's 1533-position model. The record is from RNAcentral.